Molecule: ribosomal RNA, 451 nt
Filed under: uncultured bacterium
Lineage: Bacteria
Description: partial 16S ribosomal RNA
Rfam family: Bacterial small subunit ribosomal RNA
Source: RNAcentral
GAUGAACGCUGGCGGCGUGCCUAACACAUGCAAGUCGAGCGGCAGCGAGGGGUGCUUGCACCCUGUCGGCGAGCGGCGGACGGCUGAGUAACGCGUGGGAACGUGCCCCAAAGUGAGGAAUAACUGCCCGAAAGGGUAGCUAAUACCGCAUAUUAUCUUCGGAUCAAAGGAUUUAUCCGCUUUGGGAGCGGCUCGCGUCGGAUUAGGUAGUUGGUGAGGUAAUGGCUCACCAAGCCGACGAGCCGUAGCUGGUCUGAGAGGAUGACCAGCCAGACUGGAACUGAGACACGGUCCAGACUCCUACGGGAGGCAGCAGUGAGGAAUCUUCCAGAAUGGGCGAAAGCCUGAUGGAGCAACGCCGCGUGCAGGACGAAGGCCUUCGGGUUGUAAACUGCUUUUAUAAGUGAGGAAUAUGACGGUAACUUAUGAAUAAGGAUCGGCUAACUACGUG